CCUGGCUCAGGAUGAACGCUAGCUACAGGCUUAACACAUGCAAGUCGAGGGGCAGCAUGGUCUUAGCUUGCUAAGGCCGAUGGCGACCGGCGCACGGGUGAGUAACGCGUAUCCAACCUGCCUUACACUCUUGGACAGCCUUCUGAAAGGGAGAUUAAUACAAGAUGUUAUCAUGAGUAAGCAUUUUCGCAUGAUUAAAGGUUUACCGGUGUAAGAUGGGGAUGCGUUCCAUUAGAUAGUAGGCGGGGUAACGGCCCACCUAGUCUUCGAUGGAUAGGGGUUCUGAGAGGAAGGUCCCCCACAUUGGAACUGAGACACGGUCCAAACUCCUACGGGAGGCAGCAGUGAGGAAUAUUGGUCAAUGGACGAGAGUCUGAACCAGCCAAGUAGCGUGAAGGAUGAAGGUUCUAUGGAUUGUAAACUUCUUUUAUACGGGAAUAAACGAAUCCACGUGUGGAUUUUUGCAUGUACCGUAUGAAUAAGGAUCGGCUAACUCCGUGCCCGCAGCCGCGGUAAUACGGAGGAUCCGAGCGUUAUCCGGAUUUAUUGGGUUUAAAGGGAGCGUAGAUGGGUUGUUAAGUCAGUUGUGAAAGUUUGCGGCUCAACCGUAAAAUUGCAAUUGAUACUGGCAGUCUUGAGUACAGUUGAGGUAUGCGGAAUUCGUGGUGUAGCGGUGAAAUGCUUAGAUAUCACGAAGAACUCCGAUUGCGAAGGCAGCUUACUAACCUGUAACUGACAUUGAUGCUCGAAAGUGUGGGUAUCAAACAGGAUUAGAUACCCUGGUAGUCCACACGGUAAACGAUGAAUACUCGCUGUAGGCGAUAUACAGUCUGCGGCCAAGCGAAAGCAUUAAGUAUUCCACCUGGGGAGUACGCCGGCAACGGUGAAACUCAAAGGAAUUGACGGGGGCCCGCACAAGCGGAGGAACAUGUGGUUUAAUUCGAUGAUACGCGAGGAACCUUACCCGGGCUUAAAUUGCAACCGAAUAUGGCGGAAACGCUAUAGCUAGCAAUAGCGGUUGUGAAGGUGCUGCAUGGUUGUCGUCAGCUCGUGCCGUGAGGUGUCGGCUUAAGUGCCAUAACGAGCGCAACCCUUGCCGAUAGUUACUAACAGGUUAUGCUGAGGACUCUGUCGGGACUGCCAUCGUAAGAUGUGAGGAAGGUGGGGAUGACGUCAAAUCAGCACGGCCCUUACGUCCGGGGCUACACACGUGUUACAAUGGGGGGUACAGAGGGCUGCUACCACGCAAGUGGAUGCCAAUCCCAAAAACCUCUCUCAGUUCGGAUUGAAGUCUGCAACCCGACUUCAUGAAGCUGGAUUCGCUAGUAAUCGCGCAUCAGCCACGGCGCGGUGAAUACGUUCCCGGGCCUUGCACACACCGCC
This 1383-nucleotide ribosomal RNA is filed under the name uncultured bacterium. Its description in RNAcentral is "bacterial SSU rRNA". It matches the Rfam family "Bacterial small subunit ribosomal RNA", at positions 18 to 1394 of the family's 1533-position model. The record is from RNAcentral.